UACGUAGGGUGCGAGCGUUAAUCGGAAUCACUGGGCGUAAAGCGCACGUAGGCGGAUUGUUAAGUCAGGGGUGAAAUCCUGGAGCUCAACUCCAGAACUGCCUUUGAUACUGGCGAUCUUGAGUUCGGGAGAGGUGAGUGGAACUGCGAGUGUAGAGGUGAAAUUCGUAGAUAUUCGCAAGAACACCAGUGGCGAAGGCGGCUCACUGGCCCGAUACUGACGCUGAGGUGCGAAAGCGUGGGGAGCAAACAGG
RNAcentral lists this ribosomal RNA (253 nucleotides) under uncultured bacterium. RNAcentral's name for it is "partial 16S ribosomal RNA". It matches the Rfam family "Bacterial small subunit ribosomal RNA", at positions 524 to 776 of the family's 1533-position model. The record is from RNAcentral.